AGCUCCAAUAGCGUAUAUUAAAGUUGUUGCGGUUAAAAGCUCGUAGUUGGAUUUCUGUUGAGGACGACCGGUCAGUACUAUGUGCUUGUAUCUGGUUCGGCCUUGGCAUCCUCCUGGGGAACGGUGCUGCGCUUGAUUGCGUGGUCCGGUAUUCAGGACUUUUACUUUGAGGAAAUUAGAGUGUUUACGGCAGGCAAUCGCCUUGAAUACAUUAGCAUGGAAUAAUACUAUAGGACUUUCGUUCUAUUUUGUUGGUUUCUAGAAUGAAAGUAAUG
Molecule: ribosomal RNA, 275 nt
Filed under: uncultured eukaryote
Lineage: Eukaryota
Description: partial small subunit ribosomal RNA
Rfam family: Eukaryotic small subunit ribosomal RNA
Source: RNAcentral